RNAcentral lists this ribosomal RNA (292 nucleotides) under uncultured bacterium. Its description in RNAcentral is "partial 16S ribosomal RNA". It matches the Rfam family "Bacterial small subunit ribosomal RNA", at positions 505 to 796 of the family's 1533-position model. The record is from RNAcentral.
GUGUCAGCCGCCGCGGUAAUACGAGAGGCCCAAACGUUAUUCGGAUUUACUGGGCUUAAAGAGUUCGUAGGCGGCGCGGAAAGUAGGGUGUGAAAGCCCUCGGCUUAACCGAGGAAUUGCGCCCUAAACUGUCGCGCUCGAGGAACCUAGAGGUGAGCAGAACUGAUGGUGGAGCGGUGAAAUGCGUUGAUAUCAUCAGGAAUACCGGAGGCGAAGGCGGCUCACUGGGGGUUAUCUGACGCUGAGGAACGAAAGCCAGGGGAGCAAACGGGAUUAGAAACCCGGGUAGUCC